Molecule: long non-coding RNA, 304 nt
Filed under: Brassica rapa (field mustard)
Lineage: Eukaryota; Viridiplantae; Streptophyta; Magnoliopsida; Brassicales; Brassicaceae
Description: long non-coding RNA (BRAP_LNC001832)
Source: RNAcentral
AAAGAUUUUAAACCAUCUGUCCUAAAAGAUCAAAAGAAUAUAUAAUUUUAUACGGAAUAGAAUUUUAAUUAUAUAAUAUAAAAAUCUGGAAAGUUGUUUGUAAAGAAAUUCAUACAUUGACUAGGAAACCAAAUUAUAUCAAAAUCUCUAAUGAAUGAGGAAGGAAUAAAGGACAAGUUUAACUAACAAAAAAUAGAAAAUAAAAACAAGAAAGGAAAAAACAAACAAUUUCACUAACAUAUAUCCGACGUGGACUAAUCAAACAUAUUAAAAUUGCAAUCCUAAAACGAAUGGGAAGCCUCCA